Molecule: ribosomal RNA, 473 nt
Filed under: uncultured bacterium
Lineage: Bacteria
Description: bacterial SSU rRNA
Rfam family: Bacterial small subunit ribosomal RNA
Source: RNAcentral
ACUCCUACGGGAGGCAGCAGUAGGGAAUCUUCCACAAUGGGCGCAAGCCUGAUGGAGCAACACCGCGUGAGUGAAGAAGGGUUUCGGCUCGUAAAGCUCUGUUGUUAAAGAAGAACACGUAUGAGAGUAACUGUUCAUACGUUGACGGUAUUUAACCAGAAAGUCACGGCUAACUACGUGCCAGCAGCCGCGGUAAUACGUAGGUGGCAAGCGUUAUCCGGAUUUAUUGGGCGUAAAGAGAGUGCAGGCGGUUUUCUAAGUCUGAUGUGAAAGCCUUCGGCUUAACCGGAGAAGUGCAUCGGAAACUGGAUAACUUGAGUGCAGAAGAGGGUAGUGGAACUCCAUGUGUAGCGGUAGAAUGCGUAGAUAUAUGGAAGAACACCAGUGGCGAAGGCGGCUACCUGGUCUGCAACUGACGCUGAGACUCGAAAGCAUGGGUAGCGAACAGGAUUAGAUACCCUGGUAGGAUAGCG